This 464-nucleotide ribosomal RNA is filed under the name uncultured bacterium. RNAcentral describes it as "partial 16S ribosomal RNA". It matches the Rfam family "Bacterial small subunit ribosomal RNA", at positions 339 to 795 of the family's 1533-position model. The record is from RNAcentral.
CUACGGGAUGCUGCAGUGGGGAAUAUUGCACAAUGGGCGCAAGCCUGAUGCAGCCAUGCCGCGUGUAUGAAGAAGGCCUUCGGGUUGUAAAGUACUUUCAGCGGGGAGGAAGGGAGUAAAGUUAAUACCUUUGCUCAUUGACGUUACCCGCAGAAGAAGCACCGGCUAACUCCGUGCCAGCAGCCGCGGUAAUACGGAGGGUGCAAGCGUUAAUCGGAAUUACUGGGCGUAAAGCGCACGCAGGCGGUUUGUUAAGUCAGAUGUGAAAUCCCCGGGCUCAACCUGGGAACUGCAUCUAAUACUGGCAAGCUUGAGUCUCGUAGAGGGGGGUAGAAUUCCAGGUGUAGCGGUGAAAUGCGUAGAGAUCUGGAGGAAUACCGGUGGCGAAGGCGGCCCCCUGGACGAAGACUGACGCUCAGGUGCGAAAGCGUGGGGAGCAAACAGGAUUAGAUACCCGCGUAGUC